UGGGGAAUUUUGGACAAUGGGCGCAAGCCUGAUCCAGCAAUGCCGCGUGAGUGAAGAAGGCCUUCGGGUUGUAAAGCUCUUUUGUCAGGGAAGAAACGGUGUUUUCUAAUACAGAGCGCUAAUGACGGUACCUGAAGAAUAAGCACCGGCUAACUACGUGCCAGCAGCCGCGGUAAUACGUAGGGUGCAAGCGUUAAUCGGAAUUACUGGGCGUAAAGCGUGCGCAGGCGGUUUUGUAAGACUGUCGUGAAAUCCCCGGGCUCAACCUGGGAAUGGCGAUGGUGACUGCAAGGCUAGAGUUUGGCAGAGGGGGGUAGAAUUCCACGUGUAGCAGUGAAAUGCGUAGAUAUGUGGAGGAACACCGAUGGCGAAGGCAGCCCCCUGGGUCAAAACUGACGCUCAUGCACGAAAGCGUGGGGAGCAAAC
This 426-nucleotide ribosomal RNA is filed under the name uncultured bacterium. Its description in RNAcentral is "bacterial SSU rRNA". It matches the Rfam family "Bacterial small subunit ribosomal RNA", at positions 355 to 773 of the family's 1533-position model. The record is from RNAcentral.